Molecule: non-coding RNA, 28 nt
Filed under: Mus musculus (house mouse)
Lineage: Eukaryota; Metazoa; Chordata; Mammalia; Rodentia; Muridae
Source: RNAcentral
UGAGCUCAGGUGGUUCCUCUUCCUCUUU